Molecule: ribosomal RNA, 226 nt
Filed under: uncultured bacterium
Lineage: Bacteria
Description: partial 16S ribosomal RNA
Rfam family: Bacterial small subunit ribosomal RNA
Source: RNAcentral
UGGGUGACCUGCCUCUAGGUGGGGGAUAACCCGGGGAAACUCGGGCUAAUACCGCAUAACAUCGUGAGAUCAAAGAGGGGCGCAAGCCUCUCGCCGAGAGAGGGGCCCGCGUCUGAUUAGCUAGUUGGUGAGGUAACGGCUCACCAAGGCGACGAUCAGUAGCCGGCCUGAGAGGGCGAUCGGCCACACUGGAACUGAGACACGGUCCAGACUCCUACGGGAGCAG